AGCUGGUCUUUUCAGGCAAGUGCUCGCCUCGUUCAAAUCCACUCUACACCUGGGCACUAAUUGUGGACUUUGGUAUUCUUGGAGGGUCCUUUGGCCCUUUAUAAAUCCGGGUUCAUGUUUUAUUAUAUAUACGCUUCAGUAUUGAGAAUGUGUAUUGUGAUGUAACACAUCGUUAUACAACUUUCAGCAACGGAUCUCUUGGCUCUCGCAUCGAUGAAGAACGCAGCGAAAUGCGAUAAGUAAUGUGAAUUGCAGAAUUCAGUGAAUCAUCGAAUCUUUGAACGCACCUUGCGCUCCUUGGUAUUCCGAGGAGCACACCUGUUUGAGUGUCAUAAAAUUCUCAACCUUACAAACUUUUGUGUUUGAUUUGGCUUGGAGUUGGAGGCUUGCUAAUGGGAAAUUCCUUUGGCUCCUCUCAAAUGCAUUAGCUUGGUUCCUUGCGGAUUGGCUCCUGGUGUGAUAAAUGUUUACGCCGCAGCUGUUGAAGCAUUUUGGGCAAGCUCCUAACUGUCUCAAUAUUGAGAGACAGCUUUUUGAACAUGACAUCUGACCUCAAAUCAGGUGGGACUACCCGCUGAACUUAAGCAUAUCAAUAAGCG
The sequence is a ribosomal RNA, 599 nucleotides long. The stretch from base 179 to 332 matches the Rfam family "5.8S ribosomal RNA".